This 256-nucleotide ribosomal RNA is filed under the name uncultured prokaryote. RNAcentral's name for it is "partial 16S ribosomal RNA". It matches the Rfam family "Bacterial small subunit ribosomal RNA", at positions 521 to 776 of the family's 1533-position model. The record is from RNAcentral.
UAAUACGAGAGGCCCAAACGUUAUUCGGAUUUACUGGGCUUAAAGAGUUCGUAGGCGGCGCGGAAAGUAGGGUGUGAAAGCCCUCGGCUUAACCGAGGAAUUGCGCCCUAAACUGUCGCGCUCGAGGAACCUAGAGGUGAGCAGAACUGAUGGUGGAGCGGUGAAAUGCGUUGAUAUCAUCAGGAAUACCGGAGGCGAAGGCGGCUCACUGGGGGUUAUCUGACGCUGAGGAACGAAAGCCAGGGGAGCAAACGGG